This 253-nucleotide ribosomal RNA is filed under the name uncultured bacterium. RNAcentral describes it as "partial 16S ribosomal RNA". It matches the Rfam family "Bacterial small subunit ribosomal RNA", at positions 524 to 776 of the family's 1533-position model. The record is from RNAcentral.
UACGUAGGGCGCAAGCGUUGUCCGGAAUUAUUGGGCGUAAAGAGCUCGUAGGCGGCUUGUCACGUCGGGUGUGAAAGCCCGGGGCUUAACCCCGGGUCUGCAUUCGAUACGGGCUGGCUAGAGUGUGGUAGGGGAGAUCGGAAUUCCUGGUGUAGCGGUGAAAUGCGCAGAUAUCAGGAGGAACACCGGUGGCGAAGGCGGAUCUCUGGGCCUUUCCUGACGCUGAGACGCGAAAGCGUGGGGAGCGAACCGG